UACGUAGGGGGCUAGCGUUGUCCGGAAUCAUUGGGCGUAAAGCGCGCGUAGGCGGCCCGGUAAGUCCGCUGUGAAAGUCAAAGGCUCAACCUUUGAAUGUCAGCGGAUACUGCCGGGCUAGAGUCCGGAAGAGGCGAGUGGAACUCCUGGUGUAGCGGUGGAAUGCGCAGAUAUCAGGAAGAACACCAACGGCGAAGGCAGCUCGCUGGGACGGUACUGACGCUGAGACGCGAAAGCGUGGGGAGCGAACAGG
Molecule: ribosomal RNA, 253 nt
Filed under: uncultured bacterium
Lineage: Bacteria
Description: partial 16S ribosomal RNA
Rfam family: Bacterial small subunit ribosomal RNA
Source: RNAcentral